RNAcentral lists this long non-coding RNA (800 nucleotides) under Vigna radiata. RNAcentral's name for it is "long non-coding RNA (VRAD_LNC007579)". Lineage: Eukaryota; Viridiplantae; Streptophyta; Magnoliopsida; Fabales; Fabaceae. The record is from RNAcentral.
GGUUAGCUAGGCUGAACAGUUUUUACAAAAAUAUCCAACCGGACGGUUAUCUAUGCUAAACGAGAAGUAAAAUUUAAUCUAAGGACCGGACGGUCCGGCACAGCUCUCUAGCACAACUUCUAUAGGUUGCUUGGCUUGCAAGGCAUCCUCCAAGGUAUCUUCCAAGUUGCCCUCUGCUCACACCCAAAAGGAUGAUCAUUGCAGUGAAGAGAACAAACUGAACGGCCAAAUAUCGAACGACAACAUAAACAAAGACAGGACAGAUAAGGGUAAGCUUAUGUAAAUUUAAUUAAUCAUUUUCAACAUACAUAUAAACAUACAAACCGAACAAUACAUACCACAAUACCUUUGUAUUUAUAUAAACUGUACGUUUAACUAUUAUAACCGACCAUUAGACACUGUCCGGACUGUAUGAACAAUGUAGCUCGACGUCCCUAGCACCCGGUGUGGUGUAGUAGCUGCCUGAACUAUCAGCUGCCACUCGAGGUUAGUCCUGCAACGAUCAUCAAAUCUUAUGACCGCGGACCUCCUGCCAUUCCCACGCAUGAAUAACCUUUCUCUACAUGUUCAUAGUUUACAAUUCAUCAUCAAUCAUGAGACAUUCCCCCACUGGAAUUCUCUUACUUAUCCGAAUUCAACCAAAUACACACCUUCACAUUCAUAAGUGUAAAACACCGCUAAAAGAAUGACCGAAUUGUCUGACACUGAAAGGAAACAUGAUUAUAAAUAAAACUUUUAGGAAAUGACCGAAUGGUCAAAGCAAUAAGGAACUCAUCAGAGAAAGCUAAAGGGACUUAACC